UUUAGAACUGGUUUCCAAGUUAGAAAAGAAAAUGUUUCAUGUUUAAAUGUCAAUUCUUGGAUUCAGGCUUUACUCUACACGUCUUUAUUAAAGGCCUAUGGCUUAACACGAGAGACCCACGGUUCCUAACGUCCACAUAAAUGAGAACAGGUGCACCCAUGAAACAGCAUGGCUGAUGAAGCGGGGGAGUGGCUCUGGCCUGGAGUAACAGCACUUCAUCCUGCCGGCAGCCCCACCACCAACUCACGGAGUGCCUUUGAGGAAGUGGCUUCAUCACCCUUGGGCCUCGGUUUCCUCACCCACACAGUGAAGAGAUUGAAUGAGAUUUUCUGCCUACUCUGAAUUCAAUCAAGAGGUAGCUUCACAGAGACUGUGAAACAGAUCAUGGAAAGAAACUGAUUUUACCAUGUGCGAAGUUAAAGGGAACCACGUAUCACUCAGCGCACGGUGGCUCACGCCUGUAAUCCCAGCACUGUGGGAGGCCGAGGUGGGCGGAUCAUGGUCAAGAGCUCGAGACCAUACUGGCCAACAUGGUGAAAACCCAUCUCUACUAAAAAUACAAAAAUUAGCUGGGCAUGGUGGCACGCACCUGUAGUCCCAGCUACUCGGGAGGCUGAGGCAAGAGAAUCGCUUGAACCCGAGAGGCAGAGGUUGCAGUGAGCCAAGACUGGGCCACUGCACUCUAGCCUGGAGACAGAGUGAGACUCCAUCUCAGAAAAAAAAAAAAAAAAAAAAAUGAAAACUCCAGCCGGGCACGGUGGCUCACACCUGUAAUCCCAGCACUUUGGAAGGCUGAGGCAGGUGGAUCACCUGAGGUCGGGAGUGCGAGACCAGCCAUGACCAACAUGGAGAAACCGCGUCUCUACUGAAAAUACAAAAUUAGCCAGGCGUGGUGGUGCAUGCCUGUAAUCCUAGCUACUGGGGAGGCUGAGGCAGGACAAUCGCUUGAACCUGGGAGGCGGAGGUUGCGGUGAGCCAAGAUUGCGCUAUUGCACUCCAGCCUGGAACUCAAUCUCAAAAAAAUAAAAAAUAAUAAAUGAAAACUCCACUGACCCUUUCAAUAUGUGGGCAAAUCAAUGUUAGAUGCUAGUCUAAAUCAGAGGUCAGCAAACCCUUUCUGCAGAGGGCCAGAAAAUAGUUUUGGCUUGUCAAGUCAAAUGGUUUCAGGUGCAACUAUUGAACUCUGCCGUUUUGCAAAAGCAGUCAGACAAUACAUACGCACAUAAGCACGGCUGUGUUCCGCUGAAACUUUAUUUAUGGACACUAGAAUUUAAACUUCAUAUAAUCUUCAAACAGAUGGUGGGCUG
RNAcentral lists this long non-coding RNA (1307 nucleotides) under Homo sapiens (human). Its description in RNAcentral is "HSALNT0206933". The record is from RNAcentral. Lineage: Eukaryota; Metazoa; Chordata; Mammalia; Primates; Hominidae.